GGGGCAGCAGCAGUUGCGACACCCGUAGAGAAGGCAGCCUUGCACAAAUUAAUAUCUCCCUUGGCUUCCCGCAACUCCUCACGUAGGGACUGAAUUUCCAGAGCAGAAUGUAGGAACGAAGCUUACCGGAGUCCAUCGAUUCAUCCCAAGUCGUCGAGAAAGACCGUUCUCUCACCAACUUUAAUAGCUGAUUUUCCUUCUCAAGGUGAUCUAAAUAUCAUGUC
RNAcentral lists this unclassified non-coding RNA (224 nucleotides) under Hevea brasiliensis (rubber tree). The record is from RNAcentral. Lineage: Eukaryota; Viridiplantae; Streptophyta; Magnoliopsida; Malpighiales; Euphorbiaceae.